This is a long non-coding RNA of Antechinus flavipes (yellow-footed antechinus), 473 nucleotides long. RefSeq lists it as uncharacterized. Lineage: Eukaryota; Metazoa; Chordata; Mammalia; Dasyuromorphia; Dasyuridae. The transcript has 4 exons. The record is from RefSeq and is a predicted model, not a curated record.
UGCUCUCCAUAGUUGUAGAAUACUUCGGCCGGGUGAGACUUCCAGCUUACACCUAUAAUCGGAUCCAUUUUUUUGUGGCACUAUUCAUUGCCAAUCAAAUUGAGGAAGAUGACAUGAAAUCUAAAUUCAAUAUGAUGCCUGCCCUUUUUGGAAAGAGACUGUGGCGCAAUCUCUACUAUGAUUUCCGGCGGAUACAGAGAAAAUUCAUUGUUGCGAUGAACUGGAGAGUUCUGGUCACUCGCCAGAUCUGUGAUGAAAUCCAAGCCCAAGCCCCUACACACUGGGUCUGGGACAGGGACCGAGACCUCCUCACUUAAACUCUAGCUCUAGGAGGGUGGGACGGAGGGAAUAGAAUGGAUGAUACCAACACUCCAACAAAUCCAGGAUGUUGGCCAUCGAAGAAAUAAAACACUGAACCACCACAAGUAUAUGACCCAGGCCCAGGCGGAUACGACUGAAAGUCCCAGCUGUGG